RNAcentral lists this transfer RNA (68 nucleotides) under Marmota monax (woodchuck). RNAcentral's name for it is "tRNA.Ala". The record is from RNAcentral. Lineage: Eukaryota; Metazoa; Chordata; Mammalia; Rodentia; Sciuridae.
GCUGGGGCUCAGUGGUAGAGCACUUGCCUGGCAUGUGUGAGGCACUGAGUUCGAUUCUGAGCACUGCA